GAUGAACGCUGGCGGCGUGCCUAAUACAUGCAAGUCGAGCGAACGGACGAGAAGCUUGCUCCUCUGAUGUUAGCGGCGGACGGGUGAGUAACACGUGGAUAACCUACCUAUAAGACUGGGAUAACUUCGGGAAACCGGAGCUAAUACCGGAUAAUAUUUUGAACCGCAUGGUUCAAAAGUGAAAGACGGUCUUGCUGUCACUUAUAGAUGGAUCCGCGCUGCAUUAGCUAGUUGGUAAGGUAACGGCUUACCAAGGCAACGAUGCAUAGCCGACCUGAGAGGGUGAUCGGCCACACUGGAACUGAGACACGGUCCAGACUCCUACGGGAGGCAGCAGUAGGGAAUCUUCCGCAAUGGGCGAAAGCCUGACGGAGCAACGCCGCGUGAGUGAUGAAGGUCUUCGGAUCGUAAAACUCUGUUAUUAGGGAAGAACAUAUGUGUAAGUAACUGUGCACAUCUUGACGGUACCUAAUCAGAAGGCCACGGCUAACUACGUG
Molecule: ribosomal RNA, 497 nt
Filed under: uncultured bacterium
Lineage: Bacteria
Description: partial 16S ribosomal RNA
Rfam family: Bacterial small subunit ribosomal RNA
Source: RNAcentral